GGGCCCGCACAAGCGGUGGAGCAUGUGGUUUAAUUCGAUGAUACGCGAGGAACCUUACCAGGGCUUAAAUGCAGAGCGACAGAGGUGGAAACACCUCCUUCUUCGGACGGUCUGCAAGGUGCUGCAUGGUUGUCGUCAGCUCGUGCUGUGAAGUGUCGGGUUAAGUCCCAUAACGAGCGCAACCCCUAUUUCUAGUUGCCAGCGGUUCGGCCGGGGACUCUAGAGAAACUGCCAGCGUAAGCUGUGAGGAAGGUGGGGAUGACGUCAAAUCAUCACGGCCCUUACGUCCUGGGCCACACACGUGCUACAAUGGUAAGGACAGAGAGUUGCCAACCCGCGAGGGUGAGCUAAUCUUUAAACCUUAUCUCAGUUCGGAUCGAAGUCUGCAACUCGACUUCGUG
RNAcentral lists this ribosomal RNA (401 nucleotides) under uncultured bacterium. Its description in RNAcentral is "bacterial SSU rRNA". It matches the Rfam family "Bacterial small subunit ribosomal RNA", at positions 917 to 1322 of the family's 1533-position model. The record is from RNAcentral.